CGCUGUUGUCAGCCUGCUGUGGCAGAGACAUUUCAUUAGGUCUCAUUAUUCUUUCAAAAUACUUUUUUUCCACCGCCUUCCUUUACCUAAAACGCUCCUUACUCUCUUGUGCACCACGAAAAACAGCGUGCGGUAAUCGCUGCACACCUCAUCGCGCUCGUUCGGUUCCCAGCUUUAAUCAGGAUUAGGUCUCAGUUUCGCCUUCAGGUUUCAAACUGCUCCCUUUGCAGCCUGCCUCCAAAACCCCUCUCUGAUCCCUGAAAAGCAAAGGAGAAAACUCGAUCCGGAGAAAACCAUGAGCACCGCAUCUUCCCGGCCCUUUCCUCACCUAGACAAAAUCACGACGGGAACGACACACGAGGGGCAGAAAACCCGCAGAAACCCGCCGAGCAAUCUGGGCUCCAGAGGGUGGUUUCAGAUGAAAA
This 425-nucleotide long non-coding RNA is filed under the name Parus major (Great Tit). RNAcentral describes it as "lncRNA (ENSPMJG00000010899.1)". Lineage: Eukaryota; Metazoa; Chordata; Aves; Passeriformes; Paridae. The record is from RNAcentral.